AAUCGUUCGUGUAUAUGAAGACGAGAUGCAAAUGUCUGAUUUACCCAAUUUAAAUCGCAUAAGUAUGAUCUGGUCAGAAAACACUGAUACCAGUGUAGGUAUGAUCCAAUCUGGCUGAGUAUCGGAGUUGUUAGGGGUAUAACAAUAGCUUUACAAAGACAACAGAGAUCAAUGGAGUCUAUAGCUCAAUUCAAGGCAUAAUCAUCUUUUCGAUUACUCGGGUUUACAUUAGUUUCAAAUUCGCAUUUUGCUGCCAAAUUUUCAGGCAGAGCAGGGAAAUUUCCCUCAACUCUCUCCAAUCCCUGGAGCUCAUUAUUUUCUUGAUUAACCCUACCCUUUUGCUCGAUGCAAAUUCCCUGUUGCAUGAACCUAGCAUUUUCUAGAAGCAACAAUGGCCGCGCUCUUUAUUAUAACAUAUUAAUCCUCCAGCGUCGAAUUUUUCACUCUACUUGGACAAACUCAGGGGUUAAGCCUUUAAUUUUCACGAAUAAACAAGUAGCACUUGUCUUGCGUUGAUGUAAUACUCCCGAAUAAUUGACAACUCAUAUCCGGAAUAAUCCUGUAACGAGGAAGAUCUGGUGUACCAGGAUCGACUCCCACGGGUAUCACAGUGAAAUGAGUUAGCAAGCGUAGGAGAGGGAUGAGUGGUCCUAUUAAAUUCAUGUUUAUUAACGCCUCAUUAAUGCUUCUUGUUUAUUCCAACUGUAUAAUUCGAAACUCUAUUUCCUGAGUAUUUUGACAGUACAGUUCUUCAUCUUUAUCCCGAAUAUUGAUUAACGAAAGGUUGCUCUGAAAUGAAAUAUAUUUCAUUUUAUUAAUUUAACUCAUUAAUUUAUCAUCGAAGAAUUAAAAAUAUUGUAAUUGUCAUUGGUUUCAUUAUCAGUUCAAGACAAACUAAUUGAAAAAAAAAUUUAAUAAAUACUUCGUUGAAAUAUAUAUUCGCUAUAGCGUGUAAAUACGAUCGCCGACAAAAAUUUCCUCGAGACGUAAUUUUUAUACUUUUUCUGGUAAUGUUCGUGACAUCUCCUCACCACGAGGUCGUUUAAUAUAUAUAGUGCAUAAAUUAAAGCUCAAGGAAAAUGCGAAGAAUAUUGAGACCGAAAAAAUGGGCAAUGUCUUAGUGCUCCCGGGGUGGGGUGGGGCGUUGCGCACAAGUCCGUGGAAAAAUCAAAAUUAAUGAGAAAAGCAGUGCAUAUGCAGUGCCAGUGGAAAACCUAUCCGUUGUCUAAAAAUAGUUUCUGGGAAGAGAAAACAAGUGUUGAUAUAACAGGAAAGAGAUACAACAUACAGAAAUGAUAGUCGUAGAGGUGAAAGUUAAAAAUAUUGUUGGGAACCGUCUGGUAAUAGUGAACAAUGUUUGCAUUGUGGUGGACUGAUAAGCGGUAAUGGUGACCGCCUGUUAAUAGUUUUCGGAAAAGGAUAGUACAGACUUCGAAUGGAGGUACGAAGAUAUUAAUGAUGGACCGAGCAACGUGACCUUUUUUAGAACGUAACUGCCACCACAAUUUCUAUUUCCCGAGCUGAAAAUGCAGUUGGAAUUUUUCAAUUGAUUUUUUUUCGACGUUCUUCACAUGUAUUGUAAAAGUUUAUAAUUCGAGACCUGAAACUACUUCUCGGAAAAUCUGUAAGAUGGCCCUAUGGACCCUACAAUGUGGAGCUUGUCCCUGCCAGCUUGAGAUAAAAAAUCAAGGAAAAAAUGACAGCAGACAGAGACAGAAUACACAUGACGUCACUACAUACUAAGACGUUUUCUAGCGAAAGGUGAGAACGAGUAAUGGAAAAAAAGUGUAGAAACAGGCGUCUUAUGACAAACCGUCUAAGGCCCAAUGGAUCUGCUAUCUGGCCCCAUAUGUUAGGCUGACCUUCCUGGCAUGCAAGAGAAUAUAGGUGGUAGCCACAUUCAUGCUUAUGUUGUAAGCCUUCCUCAAUUUCAGGUGAAAAACGGGGAAGUCCUAUCAACAGGUUGAAAAUGUUUUUCCUCAUUCAUUGAUUUGAUUCAGUGCUGCUUCUUAUAUUAAUCAAUCCAGGGAAGGCAUUUAAUGAAAAAAAUCCGAUAGAAUGAUUAUAUAAACUAUAAGCAUCUGGUCAAUAUUUUUCCUUUUCGAAAAAAAUAUAUCAGAAAAUGCAUGGAAAAACUCAAUAAUAAAACACUAUCCCGCUGAUAUUAAUAUUUGUCAAUAUUUAUAUUCCUAUUUCGAAUUUCUUUAAUCGUAUGCUAGUCCUGAUUUUUAAUUAUAAAUGCAUAUUAGCUUCACAUGAAGUUAAUGAACGAUAAAAAAUAUUGAUGAAAGAAACCUUU
Long non-coding RNA from Diachasmimorpha longicaudata, 2299 nucleotides. RefSeq lists it as uncharacterized. The transcript has 3 exons. Lineage: Eukaryota; Metazoa; Arthropoda; Insecta; Hymenoptera; Braconidae. The record is from RefSeq and is a predicted model, not a curated record.